GUGGGUAUAGCUCAGUGGCAGAGUGUGUGUGUGCUUGGCAUGCACAAGGUCCUGGGUUCAAUCCCCAGUACCUCCA
Molecule: transfer RNA, 76 nt
Filed under: Camelus bactrianus (Bactrian camel)
Lineage: Eukaryota; Metazoa; Chordata; Mammalia; Artiodactyla; Camelidae
Also listed under: 2 other names
Rfam family: tRNA
About the family: Transfer RNA (tRNA) molecules are approximately 80 nucleotides in length.
Source: Rfam by way of RNAcentral